AUACGGAAGGUGCAAGCGUUGUCCGGAUUUAUUGGGUUUAAAGGGUGCGCAGGCGGUGCGUUAAGUCAGUGGUGAAAUCUUCCGGCUCAACCGGGAAACUGCCAUUGAUACUGGCGCACUUGAGUACGGACGAGGUAGGCGGAAUUUAUGGUGUAGCGGUGAAAUGCAUAGAUACCAUAAAGAACACCGAUAGCGAAGGCAGCUUACCAGACCGUAACUGACGCUCAGGCACGAAAGCGUGGGGAGCAAACAGGAUUAGAUACCCCAGUAGUCC
This 274-nucleotide ribosomal RNA is filed under the name uncultured bacterium. RNAcentral's name for it is "partial 16S ribosomal RNA". It matches the Rfam family "Bacterial small subunit ribosomal RNA", at positions 523 to 796 of the family's 1533-position model. The record is from RNAcentral.